GUCGCAGUAGCAUAAUUUUGUAACGCGGAUCAGUACCGUUGAUUAGUUGUGGGUUCUAAUCCCACCUGCACCA
RNAcentral lists this transfer RNA (73 nucleotides) under Culex quinquefasciatus (southern house mosquito). It matches the Rfam family "tRNA". Rfam says of the family: Transfer RNA (tRNA) molecules are approximately 80 nucleotides in length. Their secondary structure includes four short double-helical elements and three loops (D, anti-codon, and T loops). Further hydrogen bonds mediate the characteristic L-shaped molecular structure. tRNAs have two regions of fundamental functional importance: the anti-codon, which is responsible for specific mRNA codon recognition, and the 3' end, to which the tRNAs corresponding amino acid is attached (by aminoacyl-tRNA synthetases). tRNAs cope with the degeneracy of the genetic code in two manners: having more than one tRNA (with a specific anti-codon) for a particular amino acid; and 'wobble' base-pairing, i.e. permitting non-standard base-pairing at the 3rd anti-codon position. The record is from Rfam by way of RNAcentral. Lineage: Eukaryota; Metazoa; Arthropoda; Insecta; Diptera; Culicidae.